AGUGAACGCUGGCGGUGUGCUUAAUACAUGCAAGUCGAGCGGUAACACUUCGGGUGACGAGCGGCGGACGGCUGAGUAACGCGUAGGAACGUACCCCAAACUGAGGGAUAAGCACCAGAAAUGGUGUCUAAUACCGCAUAUGCUCUUAGGAGUAAAGCUUCGGCGGUUUGGGAACGGCCUGCGUAUGAUUAGCUUGUUGGUGAGGUAAUGGCUCACCAAGGCGACGAUCAUUAGCUGGUCUGAGAGGAUGAUCAGCCAGACUGGGACUGAGACACGGCCCAGACUCCUACGGGAGGCAGCAGUAGGGAAUCUUCCACAAUGGGCGAAAGCCUGAUGGAGCGACGCCGCGUGCAGGAUGACGGCCUUCGGGUUGUAAACUGCUUUUAUGUGGGAAGAUUAUGACGGUACCACAUGAAUAAGAGUUGGCUAACUCCGUG
This 437-nucleotide ribosomal RNA is filed under the name uncultured bacterium. RNAcentral's name for it is "bacterial SSU rRNA". It matches the Rfam family "Bacterial small subunit ribosomal RNA", at positions 29 to 507 of the family's 1533-position model. The record is from RNAcentral.